Molecule: long non-coding RNA, 806 nt
Organism: Cyprinus carpio (common carp)
Lineage: Eukaryota; Metazoa; Chordata; Actinopteri; Cypriniformes; Cyprinidae
Exons: 2
Source: RefSeq, a predicted model, not a curated record
UUGCAAUAUUAUCAAAGACGAUAAAAAUCACACACCCCUUCCCUUUGCUGUUCUAAAUUCAAAUGACCAUUUUUUUGAGUCCCACAACUUUUCAGUGCUCAAAAGCUCUAACAAUGGACGGUAAAGAAAAAAAAAAUAGGGUGAUCAUUUCUGAAUGAAACCCAUCCCCCUUCUUAGUAUCUUCUCUCUGUCCCUCACAGUCACACAUACAGCACAAUAACAUUAUUUCGGGAAUGUCUUUAAACACUUUCCAAGGAAAUAUCAUACAUUUGUUGUCUUCUUUUUGAAGAACAUCAAAAGUUGUGCUUGAACCAUUUUGUGCAAAACAAAAAAAGACAACUUUGUGUGUCUGUUCAGUCCUGAAGCACAUGAGUUUCAAACAGCACCACUGAGCAUCAACAUUCAUAAAUUUCAUUAUAUCAGCAGCAGUAUGUGGCAGUAAUUAUCAUUAUAUCUCCUCUCCUGCUCUGAGACCAGAGUCAAUAACAAACUACAGACACUUCAACUACAAUUCACAGUGUGUCAUUGUUCUCUACAGGUUGGUUGAUUGUGGUCUCACAGAUGAAGGUUGUGCUGCUCUGGCUUCAGCUCUGAGAUCAAACCCCUCACACCUGAAAGAACUGGAUCUGUCUUGGAAUGGACUAAGUCAAUCAGAUGUGAAAUUACUCUCUGAUCUGAAGGAUGAUCCACAUUACAAACUGGAGAGAUUAUACCACUAACUCAGUAUUUAUAAGUCAGUCCAGUUUCUUCAGGAUCAGCUGCUACAGAGACACUCAGUCACACAAUCAACAGAGACUGAAGACACA